This 119-nucleotide ribosomal RNA is filed under the name Pteropus alecto (black flying fox). Lineage: Eukaryota; Metazoa; Chordata; Mammalia; Chiroptera; Pteropodidae. The record is from RNAcentral.
GUCUACGGCCAUGCCACCCUGAACAAGCCCAAUCCCAUCUGAUCUCGGAAGCUAAGCAGGAUCAGGCCUGGGUGGUACUUGGAUGGGAGACCACCUAGGAAGACCAGGUGCUGCAGGCG